UAAAAACAAACUGGUGACAAGCCUUUCGGG
Molecule: non-coding RNA, 30 nt
Filed under: Mus musculus (house mouse)
Lineage: Eukaryota; Metazoa; Chordata; Mammalia; Rodentia; Muridae
Source: RNAcentral